This 367-nucleotide long non-coding RNA is filed under the name Elaeis guineensis (African oil palm). RNAcentral describes it as "long non-coding RNA (EGUI_LNC030609)". The record is from RNAcentral. Lineage: Eukaryota; Viridiplantae; Streptophyta; Magnoliopsida; Arecales; Arecaceae.
GGUUACAGCUCAUCUGCAUUUGUACUGAGUUUCUUUUUUUUUUUUUGUUGGAUUAGUAAGCAGGACAGAUAUUUAUAUGACCCCACUAAUCAUUGGAAUGCUGAAAUUUUGGACCACCUUUUUUUGUUGCCAAGUUAAAUUUGAUCUUCUAUGGGUGAAUGGAGGCACAAUGCUUCACGGAACGCUUCAUGAAUACGAGCAGAGACCAAAGAGAUGUAAGGUUCACCCCCUCCAUAUCACACAAUGCACCAUUGCUUGGAUUUUUGUUAGUCUGGUAGAGAGAUAACUAGUCUUGUCCAGCAUCUUGGAACACUUAGCAACUAUUGUAUGCACAUAAGAAUAAGAAAAUGGACUAAUUUUUGAGCCA